RNAcentral lists this ribosomal RNA (531 nucleotides) under fungal sp. 57542. RNAcentral describes it as "eukaryotic LSU rRNA". The stretch from base 177 to 330 matches the Rfam family "5.8S ribosomal RNA". The record is from RNAcentral. Lineage: Eukaryota; Fungi.
GGUUUCCGUAGGUGAACCUGCGGAAGGAUCAUUACCUAGAGUUUGUAGGCUUUGCCUGCUAUCUCUUACCCAUGUCUUUUGAGUACCUUCGUUUCCUCGGCGGGUCCGCCCGCCGAUUGGACAACCAUAAACCAUUUGCAGUUGCAAUCAGCGUCUGAAAAAACUAUAAUAGUUACAACUUUCAACAACGGAUCUCUUGGUUCUGGCAUCGAUGAAGAACGCAGCGAAAUGCGAUAAGUAGUGUGAAUUGCAGAAUUCAGUGAAUCAUCGAAUCUUUGAACGCACAUUGCGCCCCUUGGUAUUCCAUGGGGCAUGCCUGUUCGAGCGUCAUUUGUACCUUCAAGCUCUGCUUGGUGUUGGGUGUUUGUCUCGCCUCUGCGCGUAGACUCGCCUCAAAACAAUUGGCAGCCGGCGUAUUGAUUUCGGAGCGCAGUACAUCUCGCGCUUUGCACUCAUAACGACGACAUCCAAAAGUACAUUUUUACACUCUUGACCUCGGAUCAGGUAGGGAUACCCGCUGAACUUAAGCAU